This 277-nucleotide ribosomal RNA is filed under the name uncultured Knoellia sp. RNAcentral's name for it is "partial 16S ribosomal RNA". It matches the Rfam family "Bacterial small subunit ribosomal RNA", at positions 219 to 508 of the family's 1533-position model. Lineage: Bacteria; Bacillati; Actinomycetota; Actinomycetes; Micrococcales; Intrasporangiaceae. The record is from RNAcentral.
UGCAAGACGAGCCCAUGCAGGAUUAGCUAGUUGUGGGGGUAAGUAGGCGUCACCCAAGGCAACGAAUCUUAAGUUGGUCUGAGAGGAUGAUCAGCCACACUGGAACUGAGACACGGUCCAGACUCCUACGGGAGGCAGCAGUGGGGAAUAUUGGACAAUGGGCGUAAGCCUGAUCCAGCGACGCCGCGUGAGUGAAGAAGGCCUUCGGGUUGUAAAGUUCUUUUAGUGGGGAAGAUAAUGACGGUACCCACAGAAAAAGCCCCGGCUAACUUCGUGC